This 383-nucleotide ribosomal RNA is filed under the name uncultured eukaryote. Its description in RNAcentral is "partial 18S ribosomal RNA". It matches the Rfam family "Eukaryotic small subunit ribosomal RNA", at positions 592 to 976 of the family's 1831-position model. The record is from RNAcentral.
CAAUAGCGUAUAUUAAAGUUGUUGCAGUUAAAAAGCUCGUAGUUGGAUUUCUGGUGGGAGCGAUCGGUCUGGCGCUUAGCGCGAGUACUUGCAUCGUCUCCGGCCAUCCUUGGGGAGUGUCUGUCCGGCAUUAGGUUGUCGGGCAGAGGAUCCUCAUCGUUUACUGUGAAAAAAUUAGAGUGUUCAAAGCAGGCUUAUGCCGUUGAAUAUAUUAGCAUGGAAUAAUAAGAUAGGACUUUGGUACUAUUUUGUUGGUUUGCGCACCAAAGUAAUGAUUAAUAGGGACAGUUGGGGGUAUUCGUAUUCCGUUGUCAGAGGUGAAAUUCUUGGAUUUACGGAAGACGAACUACUGCGAAAGCAUUUACCAAGGAUGUUUUCAUUAA